CACAGCGGGUGGGAGCAUGUGGUUUAGUUCGAUGCAACGCGAAGAACCUUACCUACUCUUGACAUCCAGAGAACUUUCCAGAGAUGGAUUGGUGCCUUCGGGAACUCUGAGACAGGUGCUGCAUGGCUGUCGUCAGCUCGUGUUGUGAAAUGUUGGGUUAAGUCCCGCAACGAGCGCAACCCUUAUCCUUUGUUGCCAGCGGUUAGGCCGGGAACUCAAAGGAGACUGCCAGUGAUAAACUGGAGGAAGGUGGGGAUGACGUCAAGUCAUCAUGGCCCUUACGAGUAGGGCUACACACGUGCUACAAUGGCGCAUACAAAGAGAAGCGACCUCGCGAGAGCAAGCGGACCUCAUAAAGUGCGUCGUAGUCCGGAUUGGAGUCUGCAACUCGACUCCAUGAAGUCGGAAUCGCUAGUAAUCGUGGAUCAGAAUGCCACGGUGAAUACGUUCCCGGGCCUUGUACACACCGCCCGUCACACCAUGGGAGUGGGUUGCAAAAGAAGUAGGUAGCUUAACCUUCGGGAGGGCGCUUACCACUUUGUGAUUCAUGACUGGGGUGAAGUCGUAACAAGGUAACCGUAGGGGAACCUGCGGCUGGACACCCUCCUUAAAA
This 613-nucleotide ribosomal RNA is filed under the name Enterobacter cloacae. Its description in RNAcentral is "bacterial SSU rRNA". It matches the Rfam family "Bacterial small subunit ribosomal RNA", at positions 924 to 1533 of the family's 1533-position model. Lineage: Bacteria; Pseudomonadati; Pseudomonadota; Gammaproteobacteria; Enterobacterales; Enterobacteriaceae. The record is from RNAcentral.